UAAGCGGAGGAAAAGAAACCAACAGGGAUUGCCCUAGUAACGGCGAGUGAAGCGGCAACAGCUCAAAUUUGAAAGCUAGCCUUCGGGUUCGCAUUGUAAUUUGUAGAGGAUGAUUUGGGGAAGCCGCCUGUCUAAGUUCCUUGGAACAGGACGUCAUAGAGGGUGAGAAUCCCGUAUGUGACAGGAAAUGGCACCCUAUGUAAAUCUCCUUCGACGAGUCGAGUUGUUUGGGAAUGCAGCUCUAAAUGGGAGGUAAAUUUCUUCUAAAGCUAAAUAUUGGCGAGAGACCGAUAGCGCACAAGUAGAGUGAUCGAAAGAUGAAAAGCACUUUGGAAAGAGAGUUAAAAAGCACGUGAAAUUGUUGAAAGGGAAGCGCUUGCAAUCAGACUUGUUUAAACUGUUCGGCCGGUCUUCUGACCGGUUUACUCAGUUUGGACAGGCCAGCAUCAGUUUCGGCGGCCGGAUAAAGGCUCUGGGAAUGUGGCCUCCACUUCGGUGGAGGUGUUAUAGCCCAGGGUGUAAUACGGCCAGCCGGGACUGAGGUCCGCGCUC
Molecule: ribosomal RNA, 552 nt
Filed under: Aureobasidium pullulans
Lineage: Eukaryota; Fungi; Ascomycota; Dothideomycetes; Dothideales; Saccotheciaceae
Description: LSU rRNA
Rfam family: Eukaryotic large subunit ribosomal RNA
Source: RNAcentral